UAGGGAAUCUUCGGCAAUGGACGAAAGUCUGACCGAGCAACGCCGCGUGAGUGAAGAAGGUUUUCGGAUCGUAAAACUCUGUUGUUAGAGAAGAAUGUUGCAUAGAGUGGAAAAUUAUGCAAGUGACGGUAUCUAACCAGAAAGGGACGGCUAACUACGUGCCAGCAGCCGCGGUAAUACGUAGGUCCCGAGCGUUGUCCGGAUUUAUUGGGCGUAAAGCGAGCGCAGGUGGUUUAAUAAGUCUGAUGUAAAAGGCAGUGGCUCAACCAUUGUGUGCAUUGGAAACUGUUAGACUUGAGUGCAGUAGAGGAGAGUGGAAUUCCAUGUGUAGCGGUGAAAUGCGUAGAUAUAUGGAGGAACACCGGUGGCGAAAGCGGCUCUCUGGACUGUCACUGACACUGAGGCUCGAAAGCGUGGGUAGCAAACAGGAUUAGAUACCCUGGUAGUCCACGCCGUAAACGAUGAUUGCUAGGUGUGGGGGGUCUGACCCCUUCCGUGCCGGAGUUAACACAAUAAGCAAUCCACCUGGGGAGUACGGCCGCAAGGUUG
Molecule: ribosomal RNA, 549 nt
Filed under: uncultured bacterium
Lineage: Bacteria
Description: bacterial SSU rRNA
Rfam family: Bacterial small subunit ribosomal RNA
Source: RNAcentral